UGGGGAAUCUUGCGCAAUGGCCGGAAGGCUGACGCAGCGACGCCGCGUGGAGGAUGACGCCCUUCGGGGUGUAAACUCCUGUUGCCCGGGACGAAGGCCCCUGUUCGGGGGCGUGACGGUACCGGGUGAGGAAGCACCGGCUAACUCUGUGCCAGCAGCCGCGGUAAUACAGAGGGUGCGAGCGUUGUCCGGAAUCACUGGGCGUAAAGGGCGCGUAGGUGGUCGGGCGCGCGUGUGGUGAAAGCCCGGGGCUCAACCCCGGGUCGGCCAUGCGGACGGCCCGACUGGAGCACGGUAGAGGCCGAUGGAAUUCCGGGUGUAGCGGUGGAAUGCGUAGAGAUCCGGAAGAACACCGGGGGCGAAGGCGGUCGGCUGGGCCGUGGCUGACACUGAGGCGCGACAGCGUGGGGAGCAAACAG
Molecule: ribosomal RNA, 419 nt
Filed under: uncultured bacterium
Lineage: Bacteria
Description: bacterial SSU rRNA
Rfam family: Bacterial small subunit ribosomal RNA
Source: RNAcentral